UUUUGACCGAUCUUAAAAUAAUCAUUCGUUUUCUACCGUUACUUUUGAUGAUCCUCAAAUAAUCUUGCUAAUGGCUAACGUACUAUAUCUCUCCUCCUUUAUCCAAACUUAUGAUUGAAUAUACUUUUAUGAAACUCGCAUAAGAGGAGUUGGAAGUAACCAAAAUCAGACAAAAAGAGGAAAAAUAAAAUAACAGCAAAAGGUUAGGCACUAGAGAAAAUUGUCCAAUUACUUUGAAAAAUUGUGCUCUCUGUACCCUAUCCUCUCUGUUUUCAAAGUAUUUGGUGCUCAAGAAUCAAGAAAGAUCCUAGCUUUCUCAUUUUCCUCUAACCAAGGAGAAUAGCAUGUCAACAAUGGCUUUGCAGAGUAGUGGUUACCUCACAAAUUCUUUCUCUAAAAUGGAAGUCUCUCCGGGCAUCAAAACAUUUCUGCUUCCUGGAUAAUGUCAUUGAAUCCCAAUUCCUCAGGCAUGGGGAAGAAAGAAGUGUGUAGAGAAUUUCAGCGAUACCCGAUUCUACAAUCUGAGACUGAAACAGCAUACACAUUAAAUCUCCAUUUUGAUCGAUUGCAACUGUCGGAUGAACAAUUGUUAGAUCAGGAAAAUCGACUCGAGUUUGGUCAGUUCAUGGCACAUGAAGCAGUGCUUGAUGAAUAAUAUUGGUUAUGUGUUAGUAUGCCUUUCAGACGGCUGUUGUUGGAGAAUGAAAGCGUCAUGUUGGAAAAAAAUCGAUAUAUUCAAAGUUAGAUAUUUCAAUAGUGAACAUUCAUGUGCACUGAGAGAUAGAAUUUUCAACAAAGUUCAUGCUACAAAGGCUUUUGUUAGUGCAUUCACAGCACCUAAAUUGGUUAAUCAUAAGAGAAUUGUCACCCCUAAUGAUAUACGAGAGGAUAGUAAAUCAGCGUAUGGAAUUGAUAUUACCUAUCAACAGGCAUGGCGUUCAAAAGAGCAUGCUUUGGAGAUGGUAAGGGGAAAACCUACUGAUGGAUAUAGACAGCUGCCUGUAUACAUACAUAUUCUAAAAACCGUAUAUCCAAAUUCGUACAUAAGUAUGCACAAGUCAUCAACUGAUGAGUUCAUGUAUUUGUUCAUAGCGUUAAGGCCCUUGAUGAGGGGGUUACAGUUUUGUCGACCAGUAGUUGUUGUUGACGGUACACAUCUUGAUGGACCUUAUAAAGGGACGUUUGUAUCAGCUAGCACACUUGAUGGGGAAGGUUGCAUAUUGCCGUUGGCGUAUGGUAUUGUUGAUACAGAAAAUGAUGCAUCAUGGACGUGGAUUUUUCAAAAUUUCAAGAAUGCAUUUAGUGAGAGGGACAAUAUGUGUGUUGUAUCAGAUAGGAACGAAAGCAUAAUCAAGAGUGUAAGCAUGGUAUUUCCCAAUGUUCCUCAUUUUGCAUGCAUAUGGCAUAUAUGAAAAAAUGUGUGUACUAAAUACAGAAGAAGCAAAGUUGUACUAAGUGACAUAUUCUAUUCAAUGGCAAAGGCAUACCGAAAAGAUGAAGUCGAUAAAUUAAUGUCCAAAGCUGAGAGAAUCGAUCAACGGGUGGCACAAUAUUUAAAAAAUGCAGGAUACAAAAAGUGGUCAAGGGUUCAUGCCACUGUCAACAGGGGUAGAAUGAUGACUUCUAACAUCGUAGAAUAUAUCAAUGGAUGUCUUGUUGAAGCACGAGAGCUGCCUAUAAUUGACUUUUUGGAGCAAACGAGAAUUUUAUUUGGUUCUUGAAACUGCAAAAUAGGGAAAUAUCAUCUUAUAUAAAACAUACUUUGGGUAGAAAAUUCGAAGAUAUCCUAGUUUCAAACACGAUCAAGUGUUCGAGAAUGAAGGUUGUUGCUUCAUCAGACUAUCUUUAUUCUGUUUACGAAUUAGGUAUAAGAUACACUGUGUGUCUAGAGAGAAAAACAUGCACUUGUGGUAGAUUUCAACUAGACGAGACACCAUGUCCACAUGUAAUUGCAGUGUUGAAGAGCAAAAACAUUACUGACCUACACCCAUACUGUUCUAAUUACUACAAACCAGAGGCGUUGGCAAAUACUUAUGAAUUACCAAUGGUUCCAAUGCCAGAUAAGAAAGACUGGACUGCUCCGAAGGAAAUUUUGGAAGAAUUUGUCUUGCUGCCAAUAUACAAAAGGAUGUCAGGAAGACCAAAGAAAGGGAGAAAAAAGUUCGCUAGUGAGAAGAUAACAAGUAGCACAAAUGCUUGUGGACGUUGUGGCCACGAAGGCCACAAUAGAAAGACUUGUAAAUUCAUUCCUAAAUAGAUAUGAUGUUUGUGGUAUCUCGGUAUACAUUCUAUUUGAAUCAUAUAAUAACAUCUAUUUUUAUAUUUUAUAUUUGAGU
Molecule: RNA transcript, 2336 nt
Organism: Solanum dulcamara
Lineage: Eukaryota; Viridiplantae; Streptophyta; Magnoliopsida; Solanales; Solanaceae
Exons: 5
Source: RefSeq, a predicted model, not a curated record